AAUUCAGCAGCUCUCAGAUUGAUAAAUAUAAAUUUCAGUCAGCACCAGCUCCUGCUAAAUUUCCAUUUUUAUUGGUGAGUGGACAUUCUUGGCUAAAUUCACAGUUUCUUUUUGCCUCUUAAGUUUUCUAGAUAACUAAUACUCUGUCAGUUUCUUUGAUUCAGGGUCAGCUCUGAUUGGGAACUAUUGUGGAGAAGCCAUUGUUUUUGCUUUUUUGGCUGCCCAAAAUCUGAAGGUUCUCAUCACAUUCCUUGUAAUUUUACUGAGAAAUAUUGUAGAGAAGCUAUACUUUAAUUCAUUCCAUGAGGGUUCAUAUUUGCUUUUCUUGUUAUAUCUGAAUUGCAACAUAUUUGUGUCUUGUAAUUGACUUCAACCUUCACAGAAUGAAUAAUGUAGGAUUAGAUGAUUUAAGAGUGCG
This 418-nucleotide long non-coding RNA is filed under the name Nicotiana tabacum (common tobacco). RNAcentral describes it as "long non-coding RNA (NTAB_LNC012018)". Lineage: Eukaryota; Viridiplantae; Streptophyta; Magnoliopsida; Solanales; Solanaceae. The record is from RNAcentral.